RNAcentral lists this long non-coding RNA (201 nucleotides) under Lathyrus oleraceus (garden pea). Its description in RNAcentral is "Pisum sativum (pea) long non-coding RNA (PSAT_LNC008812)". Lineage: Eukaryota; Viridiplantae; Streptophyta; Magnoliopsida; Fabales; Fabaceae. The record is from RNAcentral.
AAUUUUGUGUUCUCUUUCUUUCAGUUUUUUUCUACUUUUACAAAAAAAAAUGGCAAUGUUUCUUUUUUCGUUUUUUCUUUCUUUCCAAAAAAAAAUCUCUCAUUCUAAGGUAAAGCAUGAUCCUCCAUCAUGCAGAGCCGACCACUCGGAUCUCACUGCUAACGACACUGCUAUGGCCAAGUAUGACUUCGACAAUCCUAU